AUUGAACGCUGGCGGCAUGCCUUACACAUGCAAGUCGAACGGCAGCACGGGAGCAAUCCUGGUGGCGAGUGGCGAACGGGUGAGUAAUAUAUCGGAACGUGCCCAGUAGUGGGGGAUAGCCCGGCGAAAGCCGGAUUAAUACCGCAUACGACCUGAGGGUGAAAGCGGGGGAUCGCAAGACCUCGCGCUAUUGGAGCGGCCGAUAUCAGAUUAGCUAGUUGGUGGGGUAAAGGCCUACCAAGGCUACGAUCUGUAGUUGGUCUGAGAGGACGACCAGCCACACUGGGACUGAGACACGGCCCAGACUCCUACGGGAGGCAGCAGUGGGGAAUUUUGGACAAUGGGCGCAAGCCUGAUCCAGCAAUGCCGCGUGCAGGAAGAAGGCCCUCGGGUUGUAAACUGCUUUGUCAGGGAAGAAAUCUUCUGGGCUAAUACCCGGGAGGAUGACGGUACCU
This 455-nucleotide ribosomal RNA is filed under the name uncultured bacterium. RNAcentral describes it as "bacterial SSU rRNA". It matches the Rfam family "Bacterial small subunit ribosomal RNA", at positions 30 to 480 of the family's 1533-position model. The record is from RNAcentral.